RNA transcript from Triticum aestivum (bread wheat), 1459 nucleotides. It is a transcript of the gene named dolabradiene monooxygenase-like, with no coding region annotated. The transcript is spliced from 2 exons. The record is from RefSeq and is a predicted model, not a curated record. Lineage: Eukaryota; Viridiplantae; Streptophyta; Magnoliopsida; Poales; Poaceae.
GUUACGUGACUAAUGACUAAAUCUGGCUCCUCGCCGUGCUCGGAUCCCAGAUCACGAAUGGAGGACGCCUAUGCCGUCGUCUACCUCGGCGUAGCUCUCGUGUCACUGCUCAUCGUGCUCGCGGGCCGCAGGCGCUGGGGCGCGCGCCGCGAUGGCGGCGACGGCCUGCGCCUGCCGCCCGGGCCGUGGCAGCUGCCGGUGAUCGGGAGCCUGCACCACCUCCUCCUCACCGGGCAGCUCCCUCACCGCGCGAUGCGCGACCUGGCGCGGCGCCACGGCCCGGCCAUGCUGCUUCGGCUCGGCGAGGUGCCCACGCUGGUGGUGUCCUCCCGGGAGGGCGCGCGCGACGUGAUGAGGGCCCACGACACGGCCUUCGCGACGCGGCCCCUGAGCGCCACCAUGCGCGUGCUCACCAACGGCGGCCGGGACAUCAUCUUCGCGCCCUACGGGGACUACUGGCGGCAGCUCCGGAAGAUCUGUGGCCUUCGUCGCGGCUCGCCGCGCGGCUCAGCAGCGCCGUGCGCCGCGCUCGGGAGUGCCGCGACACCGUGUACGGCAUCCUCGACGGCGUCGUCCAGGAGCACCUGGAGAGGAUGGGCGGCGGCGGAGGCCACGACGAGGACCUGCUCUACGUGCUGCUGAGGAUCCAGAAGGAAGGUGCGCUCCAGUUUCCGCUCGACAUGGACGUCAUCAAGUCCGUCAUCUUCGACGUAUUCGGCGCUGGCAGCGAGACAUCAGCUACAACGCUGGAGUGGGCCAUGGCGGAGCUGGUCAAGAACCCCAGGGUCAUGCAAAAGGCAACGGCGGAGCUGCGGCAAACUUUCCAUGCCCGUGGUACAGUGACUGAGCAUGCUCUAAGAGAGCUCACUUAUCUACACCUUGUCAUCCGAGAGACGUUGCGAUUACACACACCCCUACCGUUGUUGCUCCCGCGCGAGUGCCAGGAAUCAUGCCAGGUGUUGGGAUACGAUGUGCCACGUGGCACGCAAGUGAUCGUCAAUGCCUGGGCGUUGGGCCGCGAUGAGCGCUACUGGCCCGGCGUGCCUGAGGAGUUUCGACCAGAACGGUUUGAGGGGGAAGCGGCGUCGGACUUUGGGGGUGGCGACUUUGCGUUCCUUUCAUUUGGCGCUGGCCGGCGGAUGUGCCCUGGGAUGGCGUUAGGCCUCGCCAACGUGGAGCUCGCACUCGCGAGCCUGCUCUUCCACUUCGACUGGGAGUGCUCAGGGCCAAGCUCGGAGCUCGACAUGACUGAAGCAUUCGGCCUCACCGCGCGGCUUAACAACAAGCUUCUAUUGCGCCCUGUUCUCCGUGUGCUUGUUCCUAGGGUCUAGUUGAUAUAUAAACUGUAAGAAUUGGGUGCAUAUAGUAAAGUUGUAACUAUGCUCACACCGGAGUUAAACUGCAUAGCCUUCUGGUGUAGCAUAUAAUAACUGGUACAAUAAACCAAUUCUUGUAAACA